RNAcentral lists this ribosomal RNA (218 nucleotides) under Streptomyces viridochromogenes. RNAcentral describes it as "partial 23S ribosomal RNA". It matches the Rfam family "Bacterial large subunit ribosomal RNA", at positions 233 to 404 of the family's 2925-position model. The record is from RNAcentral. Lineage: Bacteria; Bacillati; Actinomycetota; Actinomycetes; Kitasatosporales; Streptomycetaceae.
UGAUUCCGGGAGUAGUGGCGAGCGAAACCGGAUGAGGCCAAACCGUAUGCGUGUGAUACCCGGCAGGGGUUGCGCAUGCGGGGUUGUGGGAUCUCUCUUCUGUCGUCUGCCGGCGACAGGACGAGUCAGAAACCGUAUGGAUAGGCGAAGGACAUGCGAAAGGUCCGGCGUAGAGGGUAAGACCCCCGUAGCCGAAAUCUGUACGGCUCGUUGGAGAG